GAUGAACGCUAGCGGCAGGCCUAAUACAUGCAAGUCGAACGGUAGAUCGGGUAGCAAUACUUGAUUGAGAGUGACGUAAGGGUGCGUAACACGUAUGCAAUCUACCCUCAACAGGAGUAUAGCUCGGGGAAACUCGGAUUAACACUCCAUAACAUUACGAUGUGGCAUCACAUUGUGAUUAAAACUCCGGUGGUUGAGGAUGAGCAUGCGUCUGAUUAGUUAGUUGGAGGUGUAACGGACCCCCAAGACGAUGAUCAGUAGGGGAACUGAGAGGUUGAUCCCCCACACUGGUACUGAGACACGGACCAGACUCCUACGGGAGGCAGCAGUGAGGAAUAUUGGACAAUGGGCGAGAGCCUGAUCCAGCCAUGCCGCGUGCAGGAAGACGGCCCUAUGGGUUGUAAACUGCUUUUGUACGGGAAGAAACACCCCCUCGUGAGGGGGCUUGACGGUACCGUAAGAAUAAGGAUCGGCUAACUCCGUGCCAGCAG
This 491-nucleotide ribosomal RNA is filed under the name uncultured bacterium. Its description in RNAcentral is "bacterial SSU rRNA". It matches the Rfam family "Bacterial small subunit ribosomal RNA", at positions 28 to 514 of the family's 1533-position model. The record is from RNAcentral.